UACGAACUGCGCGAACGUUAUUCGGAAUCACUGGGCUUACAGGGUGCGUAGGCGGCCAGUCAGGUCCGAUGUGAAAUCCCACGGCUCAACCGUGGAAUGGCAUUGGAAACCGAUUGGCUUGAGUGAGCUAGAGGUGCAUGGAACUUCCGGUGGAGCGGUGAAAUGUGUUGAGAUCGGAAGGAACACCAGAGGCGAAAGCGAUGCACUGGGGCUUGUCUGACGCUGAGGCACGAAAGCUAGGGGAGCGAACGGA
RNAcentral lists this ribosomal RNA (253 nucleotides) under uncultured bacterium. Its description in RNAcentral is "partial 16S ribosomal RNA". It matches the Rfam family "Bacterial small subunit ribosomal RNA", at positions 524 to 776 of the family's 1533-position model. The record is from RNAcentral.